ACGCUAAUACCGCAUACGUCCUACGGGAGAAAGCAGGGGACCUUCGGGCCUUGCGCUAUCAGAUGAGCCUAGGUCGGAUUAGCUAGUUGGUGGGGUAAUGGCUCACCAAGGCGACGAUCCGUAACUGGUCUGAGAGGAUGAUCAGUCACACUGGAACUGAGACACGGUCCAGACUCCUACGGGAGGCAGCAGUGGGGAAUAUUGGACAAUGGGCGAAAGCCUGAUCCAGCCAUGCCGCGUGUGUGAAGAAGGUCUUCGGAUUGUAAAGCACUUUAAGUUGGGAGGAAGGGUUGUAGAUUAAUACUCUGCAAUUUUGACGUUACCGACAGAAUAAGCACCGGCUAACUCUGUGCCAGCAGCCGCGGUAAUACAGAGGGUGCAAGCGUUAAUCGGAAUUACUGGGCGUAAAGCGCGCGUAGGUGGUUUGUUAAGUUGGAUGUGAAAUCCCCGGGCUCAACCUGGGAACUGCAUUCAAAACUGACUGACUAGAGUAUG
RNAcentral lists this ribosomal RNA (495 nucleotides) under uncultured bacterium. RNAcentral's name for it is "bacterial SSU rRNA". It matches the Rfam family "Bacterial small subunit ribosomal RNA", at positions 160 to 650 of the family's 1533-position model. The record is from RNAcentral.